CACUUGCAUCAGGCUUCACACUUGCAAGAAAGCUCUUGCAGUUCCUUUUCCAAUGCCCCGUCUUGCCACAGUGGAAACAGGUACCGGGUCCAGAGAUUUUCUUUCCCUUCUUCUUUUUGAUGUGACUCUUAGGGUUUAUUUUUUCUUUGAACCCUUAUUGCCCGACUUCUUCUUUGAGCUCUCACCAACAAGAAGGAUCGGACCCUUGUCCUUCUUGAUGUGAGACUCUGCUGUUUUCAGCAUAUUUAGAAGCUCAGCAGGGAGGAAUUCAGUUUGUUCAUGUGAUAAUUCACGACAAACUGCGAGAAUGAGUCGGGUAGUGAUUGCAGGAUCAAAUCCUGACUGAGCGCACUGUCCAUAGCAAAACCAAGUUGACUUAAUCGAGUGAUUAAGCCUAUAACCUUUAAAUAGUGGUCUUGCACAGACGAUCCCUCGAUCAUUCUAGCACGGAACAACUGUUUAGAUAUCUCAUAUCUAGCAGUUCUGCUCUGCUCACCAUAUAACUCCUUUAAGUUAAGGAGUGAGUAUCCAUGCUAUCAUGCUGCCUCUGCAAUUCAUUAUUCAUAGAAGCAAGCAUGAUACAUUUGACAGUCAAACUGUCAUUUUUCCACAUACGAUAUGUGGCCAAUUCCUCCUCAGUUGCAUCUUUCCCUGCUGACCCUAGGUCAGGGGUUUCAAGAAUGUAGG
RNAcentral lists this long non-coding RNA (687 nucleotides) under Phoenix dactylifera (date palm). Its description in RNAcentral is "long non-coding RNA (PDAC_LNC012538)". Lineage: Eukaryota; Viridiplantae; Streptophyta; Magnoliopsida; Arecales; Arecaceae. The record is from RNAcentral.